UCUUCUUCCUAAUUCAGUUUCUUCUUUUUCAUUUCAAUGUCCGAAACAACUCUCCAUCAAACCUAAUCUCUUCUUUUUCAUUUUCAAUGCUUGAAACAACUCUCCCGUGAAUAACAAAUCAAACCUAAUCUUUCUCAAUGAAAUUUGAAUCCCAAACAUAAAUCUGAGAAUCAAACAAACAAUCGGUUCAAUUUGAUUCAACUUGAAAACCUAAAUCGUUUUCAUCGGUACCUUCGUUGACGAUUAAUCAAUCCAGGGGAAAACUAGAUGAGAUUCAAAUUAAAUUAUUGAAGAGCUCAUCCUUGAAAGCGACUGGAAACAUAAGUGUAAUCUAUUCUUAUCACUUGAAUUUGAUCGCAGCUGUUAAUUUAUCGAUUCGGAAUCGAUUUCAGAAAAAAAAAAUUACGAUUUGAAAAACCUAAUUAAUUUGAUUUCAAUUUAAGUUUCUCAUUCAAUCCAUGAGUGUAGAUACAUAUCGUUUUUUGGGAAAAUGUUGCUUAUGUUUGUUUAUUUUAAUCAGAUUUUAUUAGUAAAUUUUCUUCUGUUCACCAUCCUCAAAAACCAUCGCUCCUUUAUUGGAGAAUUCAAAGAUAGAAAAAGAGUUAUAUGUCAGUGUGAUCACUGUAGAGCUCAUUGAAUUACUGCAAAUGUUUUACAUGUUAUUUUUAUUUUGGUUUAUUGUUGAAACGGUUCAAUGUGAAUAUAUUGAAAUGCUUAAUGAUUUCUGAGAUAAUCCGUUGAUUAGAACAGAACUCAAAAUGCAUUAAACUGCUUAGUGAAUUUUCGUCAUUAUUGAAUAGGAUCAUUGUGUUACAUUGUGCUUAAUGAAUUCUGAGAUGAUAUAUUGAUCAGAGAAGAACUCAUAAUACAUUUGCUGGCCCAUAGUUCACGAUUCCUAUUUAGGCACUAAGGAGGGAACUCGAAACACGGAGCACCAUACAUUUUUAAUUUGUGUAACCUUUCAUUUCUUCAGUCUCUCCCCUUUCUGGUUUAAUAGAAUAUGUAUUAUUAGAAAUGCUGCGUAUAAAGGUUUGUCACAAGCUUUACUAAUCAUCUUAAAUAAUGUUUUCCUGUCAGAGGGUGACCGACAUGGCAUCCUUUGCGGAAGAUGUGCAUCUUUUGGCAAGUGCAAGCAUAGACGGAAGGGUUUUUGUAUGGGAGAUUAAGGAAGGCACUAAUGAAAAACAUAAGCCACGAAUAACAUGGGAAAUGGUCACUGCCAUCCAGAUAAUGGGCGAGGGGAAUUAGUUCAUCCACGAGUUUGCUGGCACUCCCAUAAACAAGUAAUGUCAUUCCUUUAGAACCUAAUUAUGUAUUCCUGAAACUGCAAUGGUGUUUCGAAAUCUUCUUUUCAAGAUUGGGGAUCUUUUAACAAAAUGCUCUACUGCCUACUUUAGCUAGGAAGUUUUGAGUAUUUGCUUUUGAUUUAGUAUAAAUAAUACUAGUGAUUGGUAGUUCUACGUUGCCUUAUAGCAGGAGUGCAAGUCUUAUAUCAAAGUUGUUUGGUUGAAUGCUUCAAUGAGCUGUCCGUCGAACUGCAUCAGGUGAAGAUUUCGUUACAUACGCAAAAGUGGUAGUUAAUGCUGCUGGACCAUUAUGUGAUUCGGUAAGGAAAAUGGUCGACAAAGAUGCACCAACUAUGAUCUGUCCCAGCAGUGGUGUACAUAUUGGUGCACCUAUACGUAAUGCAAGUGUACAUAUUGGUGCACCUGUACGCAGUGCAAGUGUACAUAUUGGUGCACCUGUACGUAAUCCAAGUUUACAUUUUUGUAUCUUAGUUCGGAAUUGAGAUUGAGGGCUAUAGCUAGAAAAGGGAUUGGGAAAGAUCAUGCUAAUAGGUCACCCACGACUAUUAUUACAUUCACGUAUAUAUGAACCAGACGUCCACAUUAAUGAGGAUGUGAUGGCAAACUUAACUCUUGAAGAAAACAAAGUUGGGUUGAAAGUAGCCCCACCGAAGUUUUUGAUAUUGAUCCCAAUACCCAACAGGUGUCCCAUGUACUAUCACUUUAAGCUUGCAUUUCUAGUGUGGCUCCAACUUCUAUAUUUUGAUGUGAGUAAAACCUAGCUCUUGGGUGACUAUUUUCCUUUUUUACAUUUAGGUUUGUGUUAAUAAAUCUCUAUGUUUGACAUCAACAUCAGUUAUGUUCGUAAACUAACACAUUAACAUCAACUUCUUUUAAAACUCUUUGUUACUUGUCCUGAAGCUUUUUACUUUUUAGCCCUUCAAAUUAUUAUUAUUAAAUUUUGGAUGUUUUAAUAUGUCCGCAUUAACAUCAGCUGUAAGUUCUCUUUGACCACCAAUGAUAGUUGGGAGAGACAUGGAAAGAUAGGAUGAUUUGGGUAUAUAUGUUUUGGAUAGAUGUGUAGACAAUAUGUUUACAUAGUUGUACACCUAUUGAUUAUUAAUGUGUACAUAAUCGUACACAUGUUAAUUGUUAAUGUGUACAUAGUCGGAAACAUGCUUCUUACUAUACAAGAAUCUUUUAUUUUAGAUUUAAUUGUUAUUUUAUGUUUACAUCUUUAAUAUGAUUUGUGAUGUUAACUCAUGGGGAGAUAUGGACAGACCGGAUCAUUUUGUAGGCGUGUAUAUAAUUGUACAAGAUGAUAAAGAUGAGUUCCCAACUUAUGCUGCUAUGCUUGCAGCCCAAGAUGAUGCAACAUGGUGCUAGGGGUGUACACAUUGCUGUACCUGUAUAAUUCCCAUGAAAAAGUGUGUCCGAGUGUGUAUAUAAAUGAUUAAUUUUAUGCAUGUUUUGCAGAGGUGUACACAUUGGUGCACCAUUGUAUUUUUAAUGGAAAAGUAGAUUUGUUUGUUGCUAUGAAGUAUCGGUUUUAGGAAUGUUUCACAUGGAUGAAUAUAUUGAUGUACCAAUAUACUUCUCAUGAAAUAGUAGAUCUGGCUGUGAGUAUGAUUGAUUUGUUGUGCAUGUCAGUAAUCUCUUUUUCGGUAAAGUGCAAUGAAUUACUGUACUGGGAUGUUUCGAAGCCAUAUUAAUUUUGUAUAGUAAUGCCCACAUGGAUUGUGUCUCUGACCAUAAACUGACUAACUUUUUAUUUUGAUCGUUUUCUUGAUUUGUUUUCUUAUGUGGAUGUUUGUGAAAGGAUAAUCACUUUCUUUUUAAGCUGUGAUUUCUUGUAUUCAUUGUCUUGUCCUCGAUGCAAGUUAUCUGCUAAACUUACCUCUGCAAAUCUGGAUGUUAUUCAACUAGAGCUUGGCGUGGUUGGUAUUUUUCUCAAUCUGUGUGGACUAGGGUGGCAGUCUGGCUAUCAUGAAUUUUGGAUUUUUUUUUGGAUCUUUUCAGCUGUGUACAUAAUUGUACACACAAAUGUAAAUUAAAAUUUUGAAAAAAUGAAAAUUAUAUAGUCAUAUGGAUACUCUUUUUGUAGCUCUCG
Molecule: RNA transcript, 3396 nt
Organism: Papaver somniferum (opium poppy)
Lineage: Eukaryota; Viridiplantae; Streptophyta; Magnoliopsida; Ranunculales; Papaveraceae
Exons: 6
Source: RefSeq, a predicted model, not a curated record